GUAACCUGCCUCAAAGUGGGGGAUAGCCUUCCGAAAGGAAGAUUAAUACCGCAUAAAGCCAAGUUUCACAUGGAAUUUGGAUGAAAGGAGUAAUUCGCUUUGAGAUGGACCCGCGGCGCAUUAGUUAGUUGGUGGGGUAAUGGCCUACCAAGACAGCGAUGCGUAGCCGACCUGAGAGGGUGAUCGGCCACAUUGGAACUGAGAUACGGUCCAGACUCCUACGGGAGGCAGCAGUGGGGAAUAUUGCACAAUGGGCGAAAGCCUGUUGCAGCAACGCCGCGUGAGUGAUGAAGGUCUUCGGAUUGUAAAGCUCUGUCUUUUGGGACGAUAAUGACGGUACCAAAGGAGGAAGCCACGGCUAACUACGUGCCAGCAGCCGCGGUAAUACGUAGGUGGCGAGCGUUGUCCGGAUUUACUGGGCGUAAAGGGUGCGUAGGCGGAUGUUUAAGUGAGAUGUGAAAUACCCGGGCUUAACUUGGGUGCUGCAUUUCAAACUGGAUAUCUAGAGUGCAGGAGAGGAGAAUGGAAUUCCUAGUGUAGCGGUGAAAUGCGUAGAGAUUAGGAAGAACACCAGUGGCGAAGGCGAUUCUCUGGACUGUAACUGACGCUGAGGCACGAAAGCGUGGGUAGCAAACAGGAUUAGAUACCCUGGUAGUCCACGCCGUAAACGAUGAGUGCUAGGUGUAGGAGGUAUCGACCCCUUCUGUGCCGCAGUAAACACAUUAAGUACUCCGCCUGGGAAGUACGAUCGCAAGAUUAAAACUCAA
Molecule: ribosomal RNA, 767 nt
Filed under: uncultured bacterium
Lineage: Bacteria
Description: bacterial SSU rRNA
Rfam family: Bacterial small subunit ribosomal RNA
Source: RNAcentral